RNAcentral lists this long non-coding RNA (372 nucleotides) under Salmo salar (Atlantic salmon). Its description in RNAcentral is "lncRNA (ENSSSAG00000095735.1)". The record is from RNAcentral. Lineage: Eukaryota; Metazoa; Chordata; Actinopteri; Salmoniformes; Salmonidae.
ACAUAACCUGUCUACUGGAGUAGGUCUACACAUAACCUGGAGUAGGUCUAUACAUAACCUGGAGUAGGUCUAUACAUAACCUGGAGUAGGUCUAUACAUAACCUGUCGACUGGGGUAGGUCUAUACAUAACCUGUCUACUGGAGUAGGUCAAUACAUAACCUGGAGUAGGUCUAUACAUAACCUGGAGUAGGUCUAUACAUAACCUGUCUACUGGAGUAGGUCUAUACAUAACCUGUCUACUGGAGUAGGUCUAUACAUAACCUGUCUACUGGGGUAGGUCUAUACAUAACCUGUCUACUGGAGUAGGUCUAUACAUAACCUGGAGUAGGUCUAUACAUAACCUGGGGUAGGUCUAUACAUAACCUGUAUAC